Molecule: RNase P RNA, 351 nt
Filed under: Dehalococcoidales bacterium
Lineage: Bacteria; Bacillati; Chloroflexota; Dehalococcoidia; Dehalococcoidales
Description: RNase P RNA component class A
Rfam family: Bacterial RNase P class A
About the family: Ribonuclease P (RNase P) is a ubiquitous endoribonuclease, found in archaea, bacteria and eukarya as well as chloroplasts and mitochondria.
Source: RNAcentral
CAAGUAAACCGGGUGACCGCUCGCUUUAAGCGGGAGGAAAGUCCGAGCUCCACCGGGCAGGAUGCUGGGUAACACCCAGGAGGGGUGACCCUACGGAAAGUGCCACAGAAACAUACCGGUCGCCCAUGGCGACUAAGGGUGAAAUGGUGAGGUAAGAGCUCACCAGCGGCUGGGUGACCAGUCGGCUGGGCAAACCCCAUCCGGAGCAAGACCAAAUAGAGGGACUAAAGGGACGCCCGGCCUGUUCCCCGGGUCGGUCGCUUGACCCUGAUGGUAACGUCAGGGCUAGAUGGAUGGUCACCGCUCCGACUCGUCGGAGUACAGAACUCGGCUUACAGGUUUACUUGACCU